Molecule: ribosomal RNA, 253 nt
Filed under: uncultured bacterium
Lineage: Bacteria
Description: partial 16S ribosomal RNA
Rfam family: Bacterial small subunit ribosomal RNA
Source: RNAcentral
UACGUAGGGUGCGAGCGUUGUCCGGAAUUACUGGGCGUAAAGAGCUCGUAGGUGGUUUGUCGCGUUGUUCGUGAAAACCGGGGGCUUAACCCUGGGCGUGCGGGCGAUACGGGCAGACUUGAGUACUGCAGGGGAGACUGGAAUUCCUGGUGUAGCGGUGGAAUGCGCAGAUAUCAGGAGGAACACCGGUGGCGAAGGCGGGUCUCUGGGCAGUAACUGACGCUGAGGAGCGAAAGCGUGGGGAGCGAACAGG